This 256-nucleotide ribosomal RNA is filed under the name uncultured bacterium. RNAcentral's name for it is "partial 16S ribosomal RNA". It matches the Rfam family "Bacterial small subunit ribosomal RNA", at positions 1247 to 1500 of the family's 1533-position model. The record is from RNAcentral.
AGGCGAGCAUGUGAAUGUGAGCGAAUCCCAAAAAUAACGUCUCAGUUCGGAUUGUAGUCUGCAACUCGACUACAUGAAGCUGGAAUCGCUAGUAAUCGCGAAUCAGAAUGUCGCGGUGAAUACGUUCCCGGGUCUUGUACACACCGCCCGUCACACCAUGGGAGUCAGUAACGCCCGAAGCCGGUGACCCAACCGAUAAGGGAGGGAGCCGUCGAAGGUGGGACCGAUAACUGGGGUGAAGUCGUAACAAGGUACC